AGUUCACUAGCACCGUGUGCCUUUCUCGUAGUGUUGUCAUCUCGCCAUUACGAUCUCCCAGCUCAGUCGCUUGUCCUGGUAUCGCCCUGCCACGACCAUCGCCCUCUCCAACAGCCCUACUUUUUUUGCCUUCUUCCCGCCCUUUUCCCGAGUGCGUGCGCUGUCGCUGUUGUCUCUGUUCCCUGGCUAUCCAUCAUCCAUCCGCACUCUUAGACCCACAUACGCCAGCAUCCCACCUCCUCCUCCGUCUCGCCUUUCCACCUUCCCUCAAGCCAGACACAGGAAGCAAACAAGGAGAGAGAGCACACCCCGCCCACGCGAGCGUAAUCCGCAUACCCACAAAACAGCAAACAAACAAAUAACCGGAUCGACAGCGACCACAGAAGAAAAUACAACGAAAAAAAGAAGUAACGAAGAAGCGCUGAUCAAGCCUGCUUUCACGCUACUCCAACGCUGUCUCUUGGUUAAAACCUUUGCCGCUUCCUUCUCUCUCCUUUUAAGUUUUUUUUUUCCUGUUUUCCUUGCUGUGUGUGUGUGUGUGUCUUUUUCGAUUCUCUCUACCUUGUUUGUUCUCCCUACUUCCCUCCCUCCACUUGCUGUGUUUCUCUCUCUGUGUGUGUGUGCGUGUGUGUGCAUUUCUGUGUGUCUUGUUUGUUUGUUAUCUGAGCACUUUCGCCUCCACCUCUUCGUCUCUUGUUUUUUCCCCCUUUUUCAUCUCUGCCCAUCACACAGAGCGCGUGUGUGACCCCACUCUCCCCGUUUUCUCGGAGUUGUCUUCUUUUUUUUUGUAGGUUCAAUCCCGACCUCCCGUCUUGAAACUGAAAGAACACAAAGAAAAGCAGCAGGGAAGGGGAACUCUAUCUAAACUCUGCCUGUUUCCCUCGCUGUUUUCACACGGGUGUGCCCUUGCUUUCUUAAACGUUUUUGCGCUGCUCUUCGUUUCCGUCUCUUUCUCUCUCUCUCCCCCUGAUUCUCCGGUUUGUGUGUGCUCGUGCGUUUGUGUUUUUCUCUGUCUCGCUUCUCUCUCACCUGCGCCCAUCGAAGCAUCCUUGCAUGUGCUUCCACCUGGGUGCUUCCUGGGUAGGCGACAAACUGCAGCCGCUGCUUUUUCUUUGUGCACGAGCAUUCCGCGCGUCUAUAUUUUAGCCCCGAAACCUUUUCGCCUCCUGCUCCUCUCUUUUUUUUUGUUAGGCUUACUUUUCUCCUCCUCUCUUCCUGCGCGUUGAGUGCCUUUCUUUUCCUGUUUUAUGUUUUGCGUAGGCUCGUGGAGUUCGCAAGAAGAUCAAAGAAAAAAUAAGAUCAGUGAGCUCAGCGAAAAGAGACAGAAAGUGUACUUUUACGAACCCUCGCGAGCAUUACGCAGCACCAUCAUCAUUGUCAUCGCUUACUCGCACACACACCAUCACUCACGCACGUCCACGUCUGCGACGGACGCACACAACAGGAUUGAGAGGGGUGUAUUCCAGCCUCUUUCUCUAUUCUUCCAUUCUUCGCUUUAUUUUCCCAUUUCUCGCGUCUAGCUGUACCGUUGACCUCGUGAGCACUUCUUCACCGACUCCUCUUCUCUCACCUUCAUAUAGAUAUACAUAUAUUUAUAUAUUCUGAGGUGAGGGUCGGCCAGGGCACCUUUUUUUUCUCGAAAGUGGGCGUCUUGUUUCUCCUACCUGCUUCACUGCACCGCACCGCACCGCCGCCGCCUCUCCCCGUUCGCCCACCAUCUUCUCCCUCUUCACGUAUUCGACUCCGACGUAAGUGGAGACACUUUCACUAUCUUCCCACCGUUUUUGCUCACAUCCCCUCCCUUCUUCCUGCCAAUUCGAGGGACACACCCCGUGAGAGCCACCAAUCCGCACAAGACAACAUCCACCACGAAAAACACACGAGAAGGGCGAAGAUUACGAAGAAAAGAAAGCACGCAGGGGGUUUUUCACACACCUCGGCCUUCUCUCCCCUCCCCUUCUCCGCCGCUCCCUCUCUUUCUCCUCGCUUUCUCUGUGCCUUGUGGAUUGUCCCUCCGACACCCACCCACGUCCCACGCCUCGCUCCACCGACGCAUCUGCGCGGCCGGCUGCCGUUGAGACUUCCAUCUGUCUCUCUCCAACCUUCUCGCUGUGUUUGUUUGUGUGCCGGUAUUCGAGACAGUUCCCGAGUGAUUACAAGGUUUGCUUCUUCACCCGCUCUCCUCCCCCUUUCUUUUGUCUCGCCUGUUCUUCCGGUCUUUCCUUUCUUAUCACCUCCUUCCUUUCUCUUUACCUCCCUCCCCCUUUUGUUGUUGCCUGUCCGUCUUGUCUUUUUUUCACACACACACACAUAUAUAUAUAUAUUUCGGUUUCGUCGAAUCGAUACUGCGAGUAGCCCCAUUAGUUCAUCCUUGCGGAUUCACUCAUCAGGAGGUUUUGUGUUUCUUCUCUACGCGCGCCCCCCCCUUCCCGUUUUCUUUUGCCCUUUUUUCUGUUGCUCUCGUUUUCAGCCAAAUACGUUACCUUUUGCCGUUCUAUUGGUUGAUCUUUAUAUAUUAUUUUUUUCGUUGUCUGGCCCUCCUUCCCCCUGUCUUCCUCAUCCGCCCCUCCCCCUCCUCUUCCUCCCUCUAACAAGCAAGUUGACGGGGAGAGUAACGCAAGCAAACACCCCCCCCCCCACACACACACACACACACCACAUCAGAUCCCAUUACAUCCACGCAGAGCCAUACACAAAAUACAUACAUAUAUAUCUCUAUAUACAAAAGAUACGGACCCCCACACACGUUGAACAACCGGAAAGCGUCAAAAAAAGGAACGGAAAGAAGGAGCGGCUUUAACGAUAAACGCAAAAAAAAGGAAAACAAAAAGAGAACCGACAGUAAGGGAAAACAUCCAAUCGCGAAGACGGCGGCGACGGCGACGACAAUACAACGAGAGAGGGAGAGAGAGAACAGAGGGCGCACCACCGAACACACGAGGGUGGGCGGCGGCGGCGAGGGAAACAACAACAGACAAAAAACAAUCGAAAAGCAGUAAAGUCAAAGAAGGGCCAACUGCUGAGUGCAAACGCAAAACAACAACAGAAAGGAAAGAGCAAGAAGAGCUGUUUUUUUUUUUAAUAUUUCCUGCAGCUGCUUCUCUUGUUUACCCCUUCUUUCGCUCUCCUCUUUCUCUGACAAACAACGCUUCUAUCUCCGUGGUUGUGAUAGCAGCCGAAUCUCUUCCGCUGCGUUGUUUUUCUUUCGUGUGUCGCCGCCUCUGACCUGUCUCUGUCUGUCUGUGCGUUCUUUUUUCUUGGUUGUGUAUAUAUAUUUUUCUUUGUGUCUGGCUCUUCUCUGCUCGCCUUCAAGCUCAGCACCGUUUUUUGACUUUGGCUUGUACGGGAGUGUUAGGAGAGAGGGGAACCGAACAGAUAAAAGAGAGCGAAUCAUUGCUUGUGCUGUCACUUGUGCCUACAUUUAUUUUUUUGCGAGGGAUUUCCUCUCGAUUCUUCUUUCCUAGUCGCUGCGCAGACCAUCGGACAUAUAUAUAGGAACAGGGCUUGCAUGAGAAAGAAAAAAAACACCAAAGAGCAAGGAUCACCCCACCUCUACCUUCAUCUCUCUUUUUGUUGGUUUACUUCUACACUACUCUGCCCUUCCUCCCCCCUCUUUCUCUGUCUCUCUUCACCAUCGUCAGCAGCAGCAUCUGCGCUGGUAUUUUGCUCCUUUUCUUUGCUCUUUCUUGCGCCUCCUGGUUUCCGGUUUUCCAAUUGUGUGCCUGCGUGUGUGCAGUUAUUCUUCCCCGCCCCCCCCCCUGUCGCUCCCUUCCUCCCUCCCUCCCUCCCUCCCUCUGCCGCGAGCACACGAACACCGCUGUACCCUAUCUAGCCCACUUUGCCCCUCUCCUCCGGCUUCUCUUUCCUUCUCUGUACCUCAUUGCCUUCCUCCACACCCACGCUGGGUUCGAGUUUUACUUUGUCUCGUGCACGCGUACCAGAGCGAAUUGAGGGAGGUACAGAGCCAGCAAGCAAGAAGGCAGAAAACAGGUGUGAGAUACCUUUUUGCGGAAACACAAAGAUAUACUGAGACAGCUCUCUCUCUCUCUCUCUUUUCCUCUUCUCUGGCCUUCCUCUCUUCUGUGUUGUGGCUUUCUUUUUGUUUUUAUCUCACUGCCUACUCUCUCUUUCUCCUUCUUUCCUGCUGCGUGUGUGUGUGUGUGUUGUGUUUGCGUGUCUUCUCUCUCCCCACCUCCACACGCCUCAUUCCUCCUCCCCCCUCCCCUUUGCUGUUCUCGCUUUUAUCUUUCUGCUCUCUGUCCCCGUCUUCUGCAUUGUUGUGGUCUUUCCUGUGCCUUUGCGUUUUGUUCGCGCGUGCGUAUUUUUUUUUCCGUUGCGUUGCUUGUCUUCGUGUCUUACGCGCUUCUUUGUGCCUCGGUUUUCCCCCUUUUUCUCUCAUUUUUUUGUUGUCGUCUCUGCCGUCGUUGAAACCACUUCUCCGUCUUCGCUCAAUCACCACUACCACCACAGCCCCCGCCCCCUACUCCAUCGUUGACGUCAUAACUAUACAGACAAGGUAGAGUGAGAGCGUGAGGAAGCGACGAUACAAAGUAGAAGCGAAGGUAGCAAGGUGGCCUCGCCCCCCUUCCCAUCAAAAAAAAAAGAACAACAACGUCAACAAGAACAAACCCAGAGAAGACCCGCAAACGUGUUUUCUCUCUAUUUCUUUUUUUGUCUUGUUCGUGGUGGUGGUCGUGCCACGACGUUCUCAUAUUUGUGCGUUUUACUUCUUUGCUGUUUGCCAACUCUCCCUCCCCCCACCCACGACUACGCGGCCCCUUUUUGUGCUCGUGUGCAUUAAACCUUGCUCUUUCUGUGUCUUUUGCGGCAGUGUGAUACCGUCGUCCGCGUCUACGUUUUUCUUUUUUCUUUUCAUCGUGUUCAGCCUCCCCCCGUAACGACACGCUCACUUACGCAAACAUGUUCUCCCCCGUGUAUGAAGAUGUGUCAGGCCUCUUCGGCCACCCCAUGCCCAUCUCCGGCUUUGGCCCAUCGGCAGAGCUGCAGUUUCCACAGACAAACUACAUCACCACCACAAACGCGCCGCAGACACCAACUCAGCAGCAACAGCAGCAGCUCGCUGGACGUGCUACAGUCUACUCGUUGGUGGAUGCGUCCGGUGUGCAGCUGCACCGUCAGGCUGCGCCGCCGCAGCAAAUUCCGAUGAGCGGCGUGCCGUUCGGCGCCUUCGAUGGCGCUUCCAUUGUUCCAUAUGAGGUCUUCAUGCAGCAUCAUCAGCAGCAGCAGCAACUCGCGGCUGCCGGCAAGCCCACUGCUGUCCACGGGCAGGAUGGCGUAAAGUAUUACCUGUCCUCUUCUACAGGUGCGCCGGUGAUGGCUUCCGCUGGCCCUGCAGCGGCAACACAGGCCAACAUCAUGCAGAUGCAGCAGCACGGUGCCACUCUCUACGCUCUCGAGUCGAAUGGCACCACCACGGCGCUGACCUCAACGCCGCCUGCCGGUGGUCUCUUCUCAGGUGCAGCAGCAGCGAACGUUGCCCCGCCGUCUGGAGAGUACCCGUUCUACGCAGCAGCGACCGGAUUCUUGAGCAGCGGCCCGCUCGGUAUGGCACCGGCAACUGUCGGCGGCUCCUCGGCAACCCCUUAUGCGAUACAGGGCCACAUGCCGAGUGCCUCGCCGCGCGCCCGCGGCGCUGUCAACAGCUCCCCUGCUGCGAUUGCAGGCAACCAGCACCACUCCAACAGCGGCAACAACAGCAGCGCGUCCACCCGCCGCGAGAACCAGGCCACGCUUCAGGAGAUGCUAACGACCAAGACGACGCUUGAGGUGUUCGACCCCGACUUUAAGUUAAUCUACAAUGUGCCAACGAACUGUGUGGUUCACUUGCCACCUGCGCGGCUGAACAUCACCCGCCUUGUGCUGUGCCGCAACUACCGCCCGCAUGAGCCGCAGAGCUGCGCGAUGGGAAGCAGCUGCAAGUUUGUGCACGCGGACUGCAACUACACGAAGCUUGAGGCGCACCCGAUUCACGUGAACUACAUCUGGCGCCACGAGACUCUCUGCACGUACCCGCGCAUGCCGGCCGGCGAGAGGCUGGAGGUGGUCCAGCCGGACGGUCAUAGCAUUGCCAUUCCCUCCGAGAGGAUUCUCUUGACGGCGGGCGCGGCAGCACACGCAGAGGCGGGAAAGACGACGCUGACGUGCUGCGACAGCUACGAAAACAGUGGCAUGUGCAACUGCGGCGAGCGCUGCAACUUCAUUCACGCAGUGCACGUGGACCCGAACGUGCAGGGCGACUUCAAGCGCGCACCUCGUAAGCGAGAUGGGCAAAGCAACAGCAACAACAAUAACAAUACCAGCAGCACUUCGAACCACACGAUUCAGUGCAACCAUCACAACGGCAGCAGCGGCGCCAGCAACGGUGGGGCGAGCGGGCGGGCGCAACGGAGUGGCAGCUCCCUCACCCUGGAACAGCUGCCGCAGCGCCGCCAGACCAAUUCUCCCGACACGGUGAACAGCAGCUCCAGCAAUGCCACAAAUGCGACCGUGCUGAACGGCGCGAAGCCCAACAAGGCGACGCCCACCCCAGUCGAGGGGAUCUUGAACACGUCCGCGUCUGCAAAGCUGCAGGAGGCCGUGGCGCAGCAGCUGCACGCAGCGGGGAGCAUGAACAUGCACUCGGUGACUCCGUCGUUCUCCAUCUCGCUCACGCCCUUUGCCAUCCAGACAAUGGCGAGCUCUCAGUCGCUCGGGACGCUUUUGUAUCUGCCGCGCGGGGCUUCGGAGGCCACGGUGCUCGGGCCCGUCGGUGCCGGCGAGAUGUCGCAGUCGUCUCCUUGAGGUCACCCAACGCGCAACAGCGGCUUGCGCGUGACUCGAAGCGCGACACAGUGGCAUCCAUCUCCUCGUGGCGCGCGCGACCUACGUGAUUCUACCCGUUGUCCGCGCCAUUCCGUGGCUUGGUGUUGGUCUUUGCCCCGCUCUUUGGACUUUUAUGUUUUCGUGUUUGUGUCGCCGUCAUGCACGACACAAGCAGAAAGGAACUCGCCCGCGUUUUUUCUUUAUGUAUUUAUACAUGUUUUAUCUUUUUUUUUGAUCCCCUGCAUGUGUGCGUUUCUUUUACUUGUCUGUUUCUCUUUAGCUGUCUGAGCGAACCCAAGGGGAUUCCAUGCGCAGCUACUGCGCACUGUGCGCAAGGAGGUGGUGGCGCACGCCAACGGCGCGAUGUGCCGCGGAGAAGGGAUGAGGCGGACAACUGUUGCUGCCGCUCCCGCUGCAUUUUCUUUUUCUUCCCUUUUCUUCUCUGUCCAUAGUGCUUUUUCUGUGAGUUCGGCAACGCGCGAGGUGAACGAUGCUCACGAAGCGCUGCAAAACCGCAAAGGCAGCGGAGAUGAGGCCAGAGAAAAGGAAGAGAGAAAAAAUGGAACGCACGCGCACACAAACACACACACACACACGCAUUGUCGUCGCUGAGUGCACAUGUACCAGACGAGCAAAACGAAAAGCAAAGGAGCCAAUAAACCCAACACGAGCAACAACAACGAUAGCAGGAAAGAAGCGUGCGACAGAAAUCCACAGCGCAUGCUGUAUGCGGGCUCCCUAAACAAGAGCGAAGAAAAAAAAAGUAAGCGGGCACCGAUGCCUGGUGCGCAAAUACAGGCACCCCCUCCCACAGAGAAGGUACGGAAAAGAGAGAGGAAAAAAGGGCGGAAGGAAAGGGGACAAAGAGACGGCAACAACGUUCCCGUUGUCUUCUCUCCACCUCCUGCGCCUCUAUAUUCGUUUAUCGCGGCGGAUUUGCGUGUUGUCGUCUCUCUGAUGUGAGCGGACGCGCUGAUUUCACCGCUAUCACGCGUCAUCUUUUGUGCUUCGAGUGCAUGUUGCGACAUCCUUCCUUGAUGAUUUUUUUUUCCGCUUGUCCUUGUGUGCCCUUUGCAAUCUUUACUUGCGCGUGAAGAACACGAGGAAGCCGUUCGAAGCCUUUUUUCUCCUCUAAUACAUACACACACACACACGUGCACAUGCGAGCAUACGCAUAAGCUUCUCUGUCUCCACCCAGGGUUCCUUCUCGCUAUUUGUUUUCUUGAUAUGUUGCGUGUUUUUUUCUUCGAUUCAUGUCUUACCAUGCUUCUGCACGCGUCUUUUCCUUGCUGUUUUCUCUUUCUUUGGUUAUCAACUCACAUAUGUGAUUGUUAUUCUCCGGCUUUUUGUGUUUCUUCUUUUUCGUUGUUUCGUUGCACAACCAUGGAUGUCAGCUGCAUCCGUGCUUGUGUGUAGAUGUGUGUUGGUGCACGUAGUGGUGUAUGUGCCUGUAUGUCUGUGAUUGUAUCAGCUGCGUAUGUGUGCGUGCUGGGUAGGUUACCCGAGGAGUGCACGCCCGCCUCUACUCGUCUGACUGUCUCUCGCCAUCCUUCUUUUCGUACUCUUACACGCAUACUCGUCGCAUUCACAACAGCCUAUAGGGGUUGCUAUCCCUUCUUGCGUUUGUUUUGUGUUUGCUGUCGCUGCUGUUUUGACUCUCACUUUUUUGGUGUUUCCUGUGAUGGGCUUUGCCCUCCUCACCCCCUUCCCCUCCUCUCUGCGCCCAACACCCGUCGGCUGCGUUGGCGCGCACUCAGAUAUCUCACCUCUCCCCUCUUCACUCGAUCUCGUCCCGCGUCGCCGAAGCUUCCGCCUUGCACUCGUCGUGCCGUCUCUUGUCGAUCUUGUUUUCUUCUUUGAAUGCGUCUGCCGUCAAGCGGCAAAAAACACGUGCUCAUACGCACGCCCUUGAAAAAAGGGUCGGGGAAGCGUAGGCCAAUCCCGCUCGUGCGCGCGCUAAACCGGAGACGUGAAACUCACCAGUAUGGUAGAGGACUUUCGAGCGAGUGUAGGCGAGAGCUUUAUUUGCAUGGGGCAGGAGAAUUCUGCAAGGAAAAACAAUACGAUACGAAAGAAAAGGUGAUGAGGAGGGUGGGAUCAAUAAGUUAUGAUCGAUGUACAUAUAUGUCUCUCUCCGUGCGCGCGUCCGGGUAGCUCGAGCAGCUUGUAUGCCCGCAUUGCCUGCUCGCAUUUCUUCGUUUCUAUCUGUGCCUUUUCGCGUGUGCACAUCGUCACCAUCAGUCACCGUUAAGUUUUUUUUUUCGCUCGUCCUCCCUUUCUGUCUUUCACUUCCGAGUCUCCUCCUCCCUCCUCCCUACCCCGAUUACCACGGCUUCUCGUUUUUCUGCUCUGUCUCUCUAUUUGGUGUACUUGUCGGGCUCUCUUUUCUUUUCACUUGCUUCCUCUCUUUUUUUUUGUGUGUGCGUUUUAUUUGGCCUCAUCAUUACAAAUCAAAAAAAAAAAAAAGAAUGCACAUGCACGCACCGGUCCCGAGAAAAAAAAAACACAGAAAUGGAGGCGUGCAACAGGAUCUCUGUGCCUUGCGGGUGCGAGUGCUCGUGUUUUUUUUUAUCGCGCAUUUCUUCUCUACACUCUCUCCUUUCUUUUUCGUUGCUAGUUGUGUGGGUGGGUCUCCCUCUUUUUAUUCUCUGUUGUUUUCUCUUCCGUGUUUUGCUUUCCAGGCUACUUCUCCCUCCCUCUUUCCCUUUCGAGUUGUAUAUCUGCGUGCCUGCGUGUUUUUUUUUUUGGAUGUGCGUGUCUGUGUUUGCUCCCCAUUUUGCCGUUGAUUUUGCGUCUUUCCUUUUCCUGUCUCUGCCUGCCGCGUCUUGCUUCCUAGCACAGAGCAAAGGUGCGUCGCCUCUCAUCGAUUCACCCCUUUCCUCUCGGGUUUUCGCUGUGUUCUGGUUGUGUAUGUGGCCUCUUUCUGCGUUGCCGCCUCUCCCUGCUGUGCCCUUCUCAUUGGAUGUGUGCGACGAUGUCCAUGGUCUCAUUUUUUUUGUUUGUUGUCCGUCUCGUGUCCGUCUUCUUCCUCUCCGCUUUCCCCCUACUCUUCGUUAUUAUUAUUAUUUGGUGCUCUUUUCUUUGUUUUACAUGUAUUGUUUUUUUUUUCCUUUCGUGUUUGCUCUGAGCGCACCAUCGGCAGCGCAAGUGACAUUGCCAUCAGCUGCAGCAAUGACACACCAACCCACAUCUCUCUCUAUCGAUAUAUGCGCACACGCGCGUACAACCAUGGCCAGGGAUGACAAGGGCUCUGUGGCUCAAGGUAGCAGGGAUGCGUCGCGCUUAUCCGCUUCUGCUGUUUCCUUGUCAUAUAUAUAUAUAUAUGCGUGUGUGCGUGUGUGCGUUUGUGUGUUUUCGCUCUUUUUUUUGAGCGUGCGUUGCCGUGUUUGCGCUUUGUUGUCAUUCGCAGGGGCCCGUCGACAGAAGCCUCAAAACACACACACGCGCACACGCACACGACAACAACAACAACGAAAAAGACGUGGCCCUCUCCAUCUGUGUACGGUGACUAUGCCCACGCACAAGAGGGAACGGAGAGCGUUGAGAACGAAGUUCGAAACCGCGAGAGCAGCGGUGGACAUGUGAGUGCAUAUGCGCAACGCAGAAAAAAAAGGAAAAGCGAGACAGAGAAUAAACGCAGAACUAUAAGUGAGAAGCGAGUGAGAGCCGAUACAUGAUCUGGUGCUUUCUUCCCCUUGCACGUGCGGCCUCCGUUUUACUUCAACUCUUUUCUGUGCGUUUUAUCUCCGUCUGCUCUUUCGCGCGGCUGUUAUAUACGUAUAUGUAUAUAUAUGUAUGUAUACAGUGGUAUCAUUGCAUACGUAUGUCUCACGUAUUUCUCUGAGAAGGGGAAUGGAGAAAAUGACGAGUGGAUCAGCACACACGACGGCCCGAAAAUGUUUUUUUUUUUUCGUCGUUUCAUGUUUUCUUUGUCUUUCUCUGUUGCCCUCGGCGUGUGUUCGUUUCGCUUUGCGUCGCUCCUUUCUGACGGUGUCAAGAUGCUGCCACGCUGCAUCUACACGUGUGCGCUGAUGCGUGUACUUGUGUGCGGCUCGAAGGCGUCGACAACGCACUAACAAAAAAAAAGAAACGAAAGCAGGGCCUUUGCAUCGUUGCCAAGAGCGGAAAGGAGAGGUGGAUGAAUCGGGAAGACAGAGAGCACCCAGGCCACACGCAAGAAGCCCAAACAGAGCUGGGCAAGGGGAUGCUAGAUGCCAAUGGAGGAUCAAAAACAAAAAAGGAAGGCAACUUCACAGACCCAGUAGACGCAAGAAUUGAAAAGAAGCGUGUGCGGCUGACGCUGCCUGCGUGCGCGUUCGUUUUCCCCACUUUUCGUGCGUUUGUAUUUUUGCUUCGAGCCUACACGCGCAUCGUCAUCACAUACAUAAACAUGCACACAUAUCCAGAGACACGUCAACGACAACAUUGAGAAUGGAUGCGUGCUCAUGAGCACCAUUAUCUUAAUUGCUGUGUUUUGGUCUCUCGUUUGUGCUUUGUAGACAUUCGCAUGGAGUAGGAGGGCGGAGGGGAUGCACUGCUUUUAUUGCUCGCCGACAAGUUCUUCUUGCCCUUUGGGCGGGUUACUGUACGCUGCAUUUUUUUUCGUUUACACUGCCCUUCUGUCUCCCCUCCCUAUCUACUAAUAUAUAAAUAUAUAUUACUUCCCCCCUUUUUAUGCCUACUCGCUUACCGGCCGUGAAGGGGAGGCGUGGAUUUGUGUAUGUGAAUGCCAGUGGCGAGUGGGCGGCGACCUUAUGUGUGCAGGUAGUUUGUUCUCAUGGAAUUCCUUCUCUUUUUCGUUUCGCGCUGCUGCUUCUGGUGUUCCUGGGGCGUGCGAAAGAGGAGAGAGAGAGGAGUGUGUGCAUAUGCCGCACGGGCGUAACUCAAACUUUAUUUUUCUCCCGUCCCUCAACAACAAAACUAUACGCGCACACACGCCCUGCACCGUGGCUCAUUCCCAACCCAAAGGCAGCUCACUAGGGAAAGGGAGGGAAGCAAACAAGCUGUUCAGGGAGAGCAGCGCACCGAUCGCACUACGAUCUCUUUCUCCGCCUUGUCUGCUGCUGUCUUUUUUUUUUAUUUUCACAUUUUUGUUAUCCCCCUUCCCCACCCUAAUGUGUGCCGCUCCUCCGAGCAUCUCGUCUGCUCCCUGUUUCGCGCUGUCGUGCUGUCAGCUUAUGCUGCGUGUGUCUCUAGCUUGGCUUUUCCUUUUCGCGCCUUUUCCCCUUCCUCUCUUGACGGGUGCCAUACGCUCAGUACAGAACAAUAACAGAAAUGCGUUGGAAAAAAAAUAUACAUAUUUAUAAUGGCGUCUCACGCUUCCACUGACAUGUCUUUCGUUCAUUUUGUUUGCCUUUCAUUUUUUUUCUUGCUUAGUCUUGUCCUCCCCCCUCCCCUCUCUGUGUGCGUGAGUGCGUGUGGCUUCCUCUCUCCGUGUUGUUUCUCUGCUUCUUUUGGACCGUUUCUUCUUUUGGUUUCAAGUGCAUUUUUUGUUCUCUCCGAAUCUCUCUCUCUCUCCUCAUUGCAUGAGCGCUGUGUGAUGCGCGCGGGGCCUGUGUAUCCACUUCAGAGCCGCUUCCCUCUCUGCCUUUGCUUCUCUUUGCUUACCUCGCCCCCCCCCCUCUCAUCCCCUUGCCGCCCUGUAUUUCUUCUCAUUUUUCGGAUUUCGGGUCUUCCGUUCACUCUGGUUAUGUAGGUUUCUAUGGGUGUCGUUCUCUUCACAAUUUUGCUAUUUCCCUUCCCUCCCCUUCUUCCGCCGCCUCCGCCUCCAUGGUGCCCGUGAGCGCGUGUGCGUGUCGGAUGGAGCUGUGCCUGUCUGUGCUGAUUGAUAUCUUCUUAUUUUUUGAUUUAUCCUUUUCAGCUCGUCUCUCGCGUCUCUCCUUUUUUUUUUUGCUCCUUGUAGAGCGCUCGCGAGCACGCACGUGUGCUUACGUGUGAGCUGUGAUAAGAAGAAGUGCCUUGUUUUCGAAUUUUAUGUUUCCUCGUCUUCUCUUUCCCUCACCCGCCCCCUCCCCUAUCUCACACAUGUUCUCGUGCUUCCUUUUCUUUUCGCUGCGAUCGUGGUGCGCUUUUUUCUCUCUGCUUGCGUGAUUCAGUGUGUGCGUGUGCGUGUGUGCUGAGUGCUGUGGGCCCUAUCACUGUUCUCACGGCAUUUUUUCCUUGAUGUUUUUUCUCUUGACGGAAUCGCUUGUAUGUCUGCCUAUUGGAGUGAAGCGGCUCGGAGAAACACGACGCGCCACCAAGCAGCACCACCAGCACCAGUGACCGAGAAAAAAAAAGAGAGGGCAAUCAGCAGGCGCGCUGCAUCUUCAGCGCAUACAAACAUACACACACACACACACACACGAAGAGCAACAAGCGAAGCAGCGAGGCGAGAGCACUGCGGUCGAGGCGAGAGGAGAAGGGGAGGGUGUCACCGAGGCACCCUGCAGUAGACCAGGCUCUCAAGAGCGUCAUUAAGAGGGCAUCUUUUACAUUUCGCCGCCUCCCUCCUCCUCCCCCUUCGUGGCUGCCGUGCACACGAGUACUCGCACACGUACCCAGGACACGCGCACGCACGCCGCCGGGUGGGAUGGUGGUGGUGGUGGUGGUGGGGGGCGCGGGGCGGCGACGAGGCGAUCUAGAAGGGCGUGAGGCCUCGAACUUUGUCAUUGAAACGACGAAAGGGCGCUUUUCGCUCUCAUCUUCCUAUUCCCUUACCUCCCCUGUUCAUGCAUGUGUGCUUUUCACACUUUCGUUUUACUUUCUCUUUCGCACCUGAGGCAGUGAAGGCAUGAAGUGCACGUUCCAAGUGCAUUUUUGUGGCUCGCUGGCUUGGCUUCCACUGGAUGGGGGCAGGGCAGACUGCCACGUCUGUCUCUCUCUCCCUCUCCCCCUUCUUUUUGUGUGUCCCGUGCUGCUACUGCUGCUCAUGUUGCUUUCGCUUUACGUGUUCUGAUGCUCUGCCGUGAUCUCUCUUCUUCACCUUCCUCUCCGUCACGUUAAUCAAACCCAACCGCUGAUUUCAUCUGUUGCUCUCUCUUUUUUUUGUUUGUCUUCGUACUUUCCACACUUCGGCGCCGAACCUUUUUCUCGUUUUUUUUUUGUUUCCUCGUUACACACCACCAUGAAGGGAGGGUGCACGUGGUUUAUGUAUGUAUCCGCCUACUCUUUUCACUUGUGCUUUCUCUGCCUCCCCCCUCUCUCCCUCUCCCUCUCUCCCUCUCCCUCUCCCUCUCUUUGUGAGCAUGUGUGUCUUGUUCUCCUGUCUCCGUCUUGUAUUUCUUGUGCACACGUUCGAACAUGCUUUCUCACCCCUCCCUGUCUGCCUUUCUCUCGUCACGAGGUGUAAGUGUACCUGUGUAGCUCCUCUCAGUCACACACACACACACACACACACACACACACACACACACGAUUAUGCCACCCUGUGUCAGUGUUGCCCUUGCCCCUCUUCAGCGGAUCCUGCGAUCUCCCGCCCCGUCCUCUUCUGUCCGUCUUUGUCUUUUCCAUAAACAGGGUGCACCACUGGCUGCAGUAUUCGCAAACGUGUGUUCUUCUCUCUCCGUUGAUACUGAUGUACAGGCGUAUGGAGAGGGCGUAUGACCACCCCCCUCCGUGAUUGCUUGCCUUCUUGUUUUUCUCCCUAUUUUUUUUUUCGCUAUCACGCACACGCACACACUUUUUCAUCGUCUUCUCAAGUUUUCGUUCCUUUACGUUGCUGGAGACGACCCGUUGGCCCUCGUCGCUCUUCCUGUGGUGGCCGUGGAUAUGAAACAUAAAAAAUGUUGUUGGUCUCACGUCUUCUCUGGCCCACCUCUCUGUCUUGUUGCUGCUUUCUCUCUCUGUGGUCAGCCUAUGAUUUUGUCUCCGUUUUCUUGUGGGCUGCGCCGGUGUGCUUUCUUUCUUUUGCUGUAUUAUCGUGAGUACAAUACACACACACGCGCCCAUCCCCUCCCUCCCUCCCAAAAAAAAAAGAAACGAACGACACCAAAAUGUCGAGUGGGCCGUGCGCUUAGUUCGUGUGCAUAGACCUUAUCGCUGUCGGCCGGCGAUUCCUCUUUUUUUUUUCGUUGUUGUACAUAUGAAUACUGUAGAUACAUCUAUAUGCAUCUAUGUAUAUAUAUAUCGAUCUAUACUUUUGCCAAGGAUGGUUCUCUUUCUUUCUCGGUGUAGGUCUUGCUGCUUCCGUGUUGGUGCUUUUUCUUCUCCGUCCUCUACUUCUUCUGCCCUCUCAUGCUCAUGCGUUUGUAGGCGGGCGCCUCUCACUCACCCUCUCACUGUGCUCCAUCUCUUGUCUCUUCCUGUCUUUCUUGCACGCGUUUUUUUUUGUCACUUUUCACUAUGGCGAACGACUCGCCCCCCUCCCCCUCUUUCUCGAAGGCACUGCCCACGUGCCCUUCCUUUUCUUCGAUGUGCGUGUGUGCGCUUUCCACCUCCAAAUCCCGUUGCUUUCUUCUUACCUCGUCUCCGUCGCGCGAUGCGUUACUUGGCUUUUUGGCUUGCUUUCCCUUCUCCCGCUCCCGUCGUCUCAUCGUGUCUCUCUCUCUCUGCAGCAAGCGCCGUAGCGUCUUUUUGUCUUGCGGGUUUCUGUUACGUUGACGUUUUAUUAUUAUUAUUUUUUUUUCUUUGUGUGUGUGUUCUGCGCGUUGCUGCUUCCAACCGGUCCUCUCUCACUGCUGACCUGCCGCCCCUCCCUUCCUUUGCAGCGCGUAUGUGCCGCUGCUUGUGUGUCCGCCGUGCGUGGCGGUGCUCUCUGGUGUCAGUGCCCCCGCACCUUCUUACUCCCUCUUCGCUGGCGCUCAUCCUUGCCUUGUCCCGUGCGCACGAACCGACAUCAAGCGGCAGCGGCUGCUCCGAACAGAAUAAUAAUGCCGGAUGAGCAAAAAGCAAAGAAAAAACGAAAAACAAAGGAAAAGACGAGGGAGGGGGAGGCGCUCUCACACGCGUUAGCACGUGGGACACGCCCACUUUUUAAAUAAUAAAAAAACGGCAUCCGCGCAUUCACUGAAGCCCGGCGACACACUUACACUCACGCACACACGCGCGAGACACGGUCGUAGGCAGGUACACACACACACACACACACACACACACACACACCUUCUUCGUGGUGGUGAUGGCCCAGGCGCAUGCCUACUUUUCCGGAGAGCCCUUUUUUUUCUCUUUCACCAUCUUUGCAGAUCUCACCGGUAUUUUGUCUGAUGAGAAACGAAAGGUGGAGAGCGUUAGUGAGCGAAGAACAUAAUAAAAGAAACGAAGUCAGGCCGAGGGCGGCAGCACGGAAACUUCGAAAAUCUGUAUAUGUACAAACAGAAAAGCUGCCACAGAGGAGAGGUGCGCAGGCCGUAGUGCUGCGUUGACCUACCCCUCUUUUUCCCUUUUUUCCUCGUGCCCACUGUAUCGUGCUGACAGGAAAGUAAGCGAAUGGGGCGAGGACAAGGACUUCAAUGUGGAUGCACAUACGUACCCACGCAACGGCUCGCGCCGUUGGUUGACUUGAACAAGAGUGAGCUUACAAGCAGACAAGCACGGGCGCGCGCUCACACGAUGCGCGGAGGAUAUGUAAAGCCGACACGGCGAAGAAGAAAGAAAACAAAAUAGGCUGUCCUUUAGCAGGAAAGAGAGUUUGAGACACGCCGCGAGAGGCGGGAGGUGGAGGCGAGGCCCCAGGUGCGCCCCCCGACUAACCAGGCAAAAGAUGCACGACGCGCGUAGUAUGUGGCGAUGCAUGUAUGCAUGCCUCUCUCUCGUGCUCUCCCACUUGCCCGCGAGCUUGUGUGUGCUUAUCUCUUUGUCGUCUUCGUACUCUCGCUGGAUGGUCGGUCUCCUGCUCAGGCCUAUCGUAAAGCGUACGUACGCCUCCAUGUACGGGCUUUUACUCGGUUUCUCGUGCUGUACCCCCCCCGUCUCGCGUUUUUUUUUUGCGCACCGCCCCUCUCUCUCGCUCUUUGUGUCUGUUCUUCUCCUUCUUCCCGUGUGUGUGCUGCAUUCAUGACGCGCCUUUUUUUUUGAGCUCUCUUCCUCCUCCCAUCAGCGCACUCUCCCUUCUUUUUGUUGGUUGGUGUCUCGUGCACUACACACUGCACGAGUGCCUCAUGCUAUGCGCUGUACGCGUGUUCUCUGGAUAUGUGCAUAUACACACAUAUAUAUAUAUGCAUGUGUGUAUGUGUACGUAUGUGUGUGUGCGUGCUUGGUAUUUGUGCCGUUGUAUUGUUUAUUUUGUUUCGCUUUUUAUUCGCCGAUUUUUUGCCCUUUUCUUUCAUUCUCUGCACCUUCUUUCCUUCCUCCGCCCUUCCCUUCCCUCUUUGAUCGAAUUUUUUUGAUACGUGGCCCUUGAGUCUGUGCCGUCCAAGUCCUUUGCCAGAGCCUCGUGUCUUUCUCUCUUCUGUACCGACUCUUCCUGCAAGCACAGGUAACGUUGCUGCAUACAAGAGAUUCGUCUGCUUGCCCUGCCUUCCUUCUUUUCUUUGCCCCCUUCAAAACUACCCUCUUGCUGUACGCUUUUCUUUCACCAUCUCUGUCUCUCUUUCUGUAAAGCUGCAUGGCAAUCACAUUUGUUUUUCCCCUCACUUCAUGUCGCGCUCUCCGUCAUGCCAAACUUCCUUCUGCAGGUGCGCAAACAACUUUCCCCUCCUUUUUUGUUUACUUCUGUGCGUGCGUGUGUCUGCGUGAGCGUUGCACUAUACACAGGCACACACGCCUUUCUCAUCCGUCUCUUUAUUCGUUUCCCUUUCUCUCUCUCUCGCUCGCUUUAUCUCCUUUCCGUUUUUUUUUCUUGUGCUAAACACCCGCUCGCAAGACGAAAAAGAGGCGAAACAACAACAAUAAACAAACAAGGUGAAAAAAAAAACAGGACAGAGUAGUAUCAGAGGACGUAUCAACUAUGUGUGUGUGCGUGUCGGCCGGCCUGUCUGUGCGGGAGAGGCCUCUCCUUUUCCACGUUCUUGUCUGUUUUUCGGUGCCGCUCAAUCAUCUAGCAAAUGAAGGGUAUGGCUUUGUUUCUGUUUUUUUUUUGUUUCUUGUGUUUUGGGUUAACGCUCUCCUUGUCCUUCCCUGCUGAUGGCACUUCUUGUGCCUUUGUAUGUACACACACGUGCAUGUGAAGCUCAUCGUCCUCCCUGCUCUCCCCCUCCUUUUCCUUUUGCUUGUGUUGUCAACCGCACGCCCAUGCUGAGGCCGGCUCUGAGGGUGCCAAUGGGGCUAUCGCGCACCAGUUAGUCUAUGCAUACAUCUCUGUUGGGGGCUGAAGCAGAUUCCACUGCGAGUUUGAGGCGGUGGGCUCAGGCGUUUUUUUUUCAUGCCUUCUGCUUUUUUGGCGGCCUUGCGCGGCCUUUGCUGGCGCUGCCGCUUCCUACUUUUUGUUCGCUAGUUUCGUCAUGGUUUAGUUUGGUUAAUAUAUUGAACAUGCUCUUUUUUUUCCCGCUCUUGGCUUCGCCCGCGUCGCCUUCUCCUUUCUUUUAUGACUUAUGUUUGUGUUGUCGGUGUGCGCGUGUGCGUUUUCUCUACCAGUUCAGUUCCUCUUCUCUGCCGUAUCUUCAUUUUUUUUUGCUCUCUGCUUUCGUCCUCCUUGCAUUUUGUGUGUAUGCGCGUGUGUGUCUCCGUUCUCUCUCCGUCUCUUCGAUAUGCUACGAAAAGUAGAGCUCUUCCUCCCUCUCUUCAGUCUCUGUCGUGCUUCACUCUUCCCUUUUUUAAAGGUGGUGAUGGCGUGUGUGUGUUUGUGUGUGUGUGUGGGGUCUUUUCCAUGAUGCGUUUCCGCAUGUCAUCGCCGUCGCCAUCGCUGCGAGAGCUUCUUUGUUUUUCUCUUGCGUGUGUGUGUGUGUGCGUAUCGCACUUGAAUGGGCACAACACCUCUCUCCUUCGUUCCCCUUGCCUCCGACCAUCCGACUUUCACUUCACACACACACACAGACACCACUUCGCUACUCUACUUCAGCUCUGUGGUACUGCUGUGAUGUGAUGGCUGCUGUUGUGGCCGUGCCGUCGGCACGCAAAGGAGGUGCUUCGUGAUUCUCUCUCGUCUCAUGCACGUGCUGCCCUUCUCCCCUAUCUGCGGAGAUAACCCCGCUCGCUUCCUUCUUUCUGCCUCCUCGCAUGUUCUCGGCACUUGACCCUCCCCCCUUUUCUGCUCGCGGCCUUUCUUCAACGCCUUUUCGUUGGCUUCAUUAAUAUAUGUGUGUGUAUAUAGACAUGUGGCCCUCAUCUUGUCGUGUUCUUCGCGUCCCGCUGAACGACGUAGUCGUCCCUAUAAGUGACCAAACACGAGAAAAAGACGACACAGGAGCGAGGGGGCGGAUACGGGUGCACGUGCCGUGCCGAGUGCAGCCUUCUAUUUCUGUUUUUCUUUUUUCGAUGGUUGGACGUGCACGCCGUGCCACGACGGGAGAGAGCGAGAGUCUGUACUUCCUUCUUUUUUUUUGCCUUUCGCUCAUCCUUCUUUGCUACAUCUUGCGGCACGCGCGCACAUACGCGUUCUACCUGCAUCCCUCCUCUCUCCCUCCUCCUUCUUUGUUUUUUUUUUGUUGUUCUGAAUUUGCCUCUUCUCAGCUUGCCUUUUGCAGCAUUUUCGUGCUCUCUGUCCUUGCUUUGCCUUCGGUAUGUUAGACACACACACGCGCACACACACACGCACGCACACACGCACGCACACACACACACACACACACACAGACACAGACACACACACACACACACACACACACAGCACGCGUAGCUUUCCUUUCGUCCCAUCUUACGGUCCCUUUAUCGCUCUCGAUUUUUUUUCUUUCUCCGUAUCGCAAAUUUAACGCAAAGAAAAACGAAGGGUUACCAAGUAAGCGAGCCAUGCAUGCAGUCGCUCGUUUUACGUGCCCGUAUGCGUGAGAGUAUUGCGACCCCUUGGUGCCGAUAGCAGAUCUGCUUUUCCUUUUCUUUUUGUCUUUCAGUUCUCUCCUUCCCCGCUUUUUUGCCAUGUGCUGCUGUCGGUGUCGGCGAUGGAAAACAUCUGUUUCGCAUGCAUUCACCGCUUCCACCCGCCCCUCUCCAUCCGUGUUCUUCACUGCACGUGUACGUGCGUCUUUCUGUGCUGCCUGCCACCCCAUCCGGUGCUCUCCCUUCUCUCCGCAUUCCAAUGCGUGCGUGAUGGCACAUGCGUAUGCGUCAGGGGGGCGGAGGACGGCGGGGCGAAAUCAGUGGCGUGACAGUUGUGCACAUGCACGCACACGGGCAAGGCACAGAGUGAGCGCUGCUUACUACCCUCCCGUAGUUUUCGGCGCUUCCUCUUUCUGGAAGCGAACUGUCGACACAAAGUGGCGUUUUCUUCCUUCUUUGGCGACUCUUGUCAUUUUGCGCUCGUGGCUCCAGUGGCGCAUGCAUGUGUGCGCACACAGGAUCUGUGGUGAGGGGAGACAGCUAUGGUGAUGACUGUGAUACGCCUUGCCUUACGACGGAAUAGGUCACAGAGGACUGGUGUCGCACACGACAUACUGUACAUUCUUUGUUUUUCGUCCAUCCACCUGCCUCUCCCCUUUCUUUUUCAGCUACGCUCUGCAACAUCAUGGGCUUGGGGUGCCGCCUUGAUGCCAUUACAGUGGCCGGCGCCUGUCGGUAACGCAUACCUUUCCUUUCCGCCUUUUCCUCUUACACUCCUUCCUGCUUCUUUGCUCUCCCUCUGUUGCGCCACUGUGUACACCUCUGCUCAUCUUAAUCCUUCCCAACUGACACGGCACGCACGCGUGAUACGCGAAACUUAACUCUUCCACCGUCGUACACUUGUUGAUGCGUAAGAGUUGCCUGUGCAUGAGUGUCUGGGAAGCCAAACAGCAACAAAAAGAGUCUAGAUUUUUCAAGCAGCGCAUGCAUGCGUAUGUGUCUGUGUGGUAGAGACUGCGAAAAACAAAAAAAACAAAAAAAACGGAGAGAUGCAGGCAACGGCACCAUCAGGCGUUUGCGAUGACCGCUUCUUUCUUUUUGGUUGAACUUAUUCGGCAUUUUUGUGCUCUUGCGCUCAUUCCGCUCUUCCGCUUGCUUUGGUUGACACCAACAAUUUUUUUCCCGAUUAUACAUUCCCAGUGCGUGUGCCUUCUCCCCUUUUUCCCGUCGUGCUUUGGGUGCUUGUGCGUGUGUGUGCCCACGGGUUUUGCCUGACACAGUGCGUGAGGGGAGUCAUUGUAGAGUUUUUUGUUUUCCCACACUGGCCGCUUGUCUUUGUGUAUGCUGGCGCGCUGCGCCUUUACGUGCGCGUGCACACGCGCACAUAUACGUAUGCAUCUACGUUUCUCUUUCUGUUUUGCUCCAUACAUGCCCUUUAUAGUACCAUUACAGGAGCGCUCCGUCUAGUGCAACCACCGCAGCUGUGGUCUGGUCCGGCGUUGUGCGUCUCCCUCUCUCUCUCGGUGUACUUGUAUCACCGGCACUGGGCACACACACACAUGCAUACACACGCAUUUAUAUAUCUAUACACACAUAUACAUAUAGUACCCGUAGGUGGCUUUACGGAGGUCUAUCUCCAUUUCAAAUCCUUUAAUUGCUCGUCUCUCUGUGUACGUGUGUUCGACUUGCUCUGUCGCCUAGUCGGGCGUCUGCCCCACGCGUGGUUGCUGGACGACAAACACUGACGCACAAACAUGGACGAGCGCGUAUAUAUAUAUAUGCAUAUACAUCUGUCUAUAUGUCUGUGUGUGCGUGUGUGGUUCUGCGCAUCGGCGUAUGCGCGAUAUUGCGUUUGUGUGUGUAUGUGCGUGUGUGUCUAUGUGCUCUUUCCCUAAGACUGGACACCGAAACC
Molecule: unclassified non-coding RNA, 21562 nt
Filed under: Leishmania donovani
Lineage: Eukaryota; Euglenozoa; Kinetoplastea; Trypanosomatida; Trypanosomatidae
Description: gene:LdHU3.18.1700(CDS-product:hypothetical_prote in_conserved)
Source: RNAcentral